UCCUACGGGAGGCAGCAGUGGGGAAUAUUGGACAAUGGGCGAAAGCCUGAUCCAGCCAUACCGCGUGUGUGAAGAAGGCCCUAGGGUUGUAAAGCACUUUAAGUUGGGAAGAAAAGUUAUUGGUUAAUACCCAAUGACCGUGACAUUACCAUCAGAAUAAGGACCGGCUAAUUCCGUGCCAGCAGCCGCGGUAAU
Molecule: ribosomal RNA, 195 nt
Filed under: uncultured marine bacterium
Lineage: Bacteria
Description: partial 16S ribosomal RNA
Rfam family: Bacterial small subunit ribosomal RNA
Source: RNAcentral